CUCGUAGGCGGCCAACUAAGUCAGACGUGAAAUCCCUCGGCUUAACCGGGGAACUGCAUCUGAUACUGGAUGGCUCGAGUUCGGGAGAGGGAUGCGGAAUUCCAGGUGUAGCGGUGAAAUGCGUAGAUAUCUGGAGGAACACCGGUGGCGAAGGCGGCAUCCUGGACCGACACUGACGCUGAGGAGCGAAAGCCAGGGAGCAAACG
Molecule: ribosomal RNA, 206 nt
Filed under: uncultured bacterium
Lineage: Bacteria
Description: partial 16S ribosomal RNA
Rfam family: Bacterial small subunit ribosomal RNA
Source: RNAcentral